This 305-nucleotide ribosomal RNA is filed under the name uncultured bacterium. Its description in RNAcentral is "bacterial SSU rRNA". It matches the Rfam family "Bacterial small subunit ribosomal RNA", at positions 335 to 639 of the family's 1533-position model. The record is from RNAcentral.
UGCCUACGGGGGGCAGCAGUGAGGAAUAUUGGUCAAUGGGCGCGAGCCUGAACCAGCCAAGUAGCGUGAAGGAUGACUGCCCUACGGGUUGUAAACUUCUUUUAUAAAGGAAUAAAGUGAGGCACGUGUGCCUUUUUGUAUGUACUUUAUGAAUAAGGAUCGGCUAACUCCGUGCCAGCAGCCGCGGUAAUACGGAGGAUGCGAGCGUUAUCCGGAUUUAUUGGGUUUAAAGGGUGCGUAGGCGGACGCUUAAGUCAGCGGUAAAAUUGCGGGGCUCAACCUCGUCGAGCCGUUGAAACUGGGUG